Molecule: ribosomal RNA, 253 nt
Filed under: uncultured bacterium
Lineage: Bacteria
Description: partial 16S ribosomal RNA
Rfam family: Bacterial small subunit ribosomal RNA
Source: RNAcentral
GACGAACCGUGCGAACGUUGCUCGGAUUUACUGGGCUUAAAGGGCGCGUAGGCGGGUUACCAAGUCAGGGGUGAAAUCUUUCGGCUCAACCGGAAAAGUGCCCCUGAUACUGGUAGUCUUGAGGGAGGUAGGGGCAUGUGGAACUUCCGGUGGAGCGGUGAAAUGCGUAGAUAUCGGAAGGAACGCCGGUGGCGAAAGCGACGUGCUGGAUCUCUUCUGACGCUGAGGCGCGAAAGCUAGGGGAGCGAACGGG